CUUCACCGAACCCAACCACACCGGUUCCGAAUCGCGAUCACGCUGACCAUAAGUCGCCAGCAACGCCUGCGCCUC
Molecule: antisense RNA, 75 nt
Filed under: Rhodococcus sp. OK270
Lineage: Bacteria; Bacillati; Actinomycetota; Actinomycetes; Mycobacteriales; Nocardiaceae
Also listed under: 1 other name
Description: ASpks TB sRNA
Rfam family: ASpks TB sRNA
Source: RNAcentral